Molecule: RNA transcript, 1504 nt
Organism: Austrofundulus limnaeus
Lineage: Eukaryota; Metazoa; Chordata; Actinopteri; Cyprinodontiformes; Rivulidae
Gene: pim2
Gene name: Pim-2 proto-oncogene, serine/threonine kinase
Exons: 8
Source: RefSeq, a predicted model, not a curated record
AACAAACCGAGAGGAGCGAGAAGGUGCUGAGACGUGGUUCUGGACGGGUUCCGAUAACAGUUUGGACCCGAGUUUGUUCCGUUUCACAAGACUUCAAAGCUUCUUUCCGUUUUUUUUUUUUUUMGGGUUUAAAAAGCGGGAAACGGGCGGAGAGAAUUAACCGUUUCAGAGGAACUCACGAUGGAUUUACGGGUUUGAUCUGAAACUCAACAUGUUGGAUAAAACAAGCGUGGAGCCUGAGCUGGAGGAGGACGGAGGGAAAACAGUGAAGGAGCAGUUCUGCAGCCGGUACCACUGCGGGGCCCUGCUCGGCAGCGGCGGGUUCGGUUCGGUGUUUUCCGGUCAGAGGCUCUCAGAUGGACUCCAGGUCGCCAUCAAGCAGAUCAGCAGCGACAGAGUCCUGCAGUGGACCCGACUGCCUGGCGAGCUCAGACCCGUUCCCAUGGAGAUCGCUCUGCUGCAGCGGCUGUCUGAGGUCGGAGGUCACAGCGGCGUGGUGCGGAUGCUGGACUGGUARGAGCUGGAGGGGCGGGGCUUCCUGCUGGUGAUGGAGCGUCCGCCGCAGAGCCAGGACCUGUUCGACUUCAUCACGGAGCGAGGAGCGCUCCCUGAACGCCUCGCGCUCAGGUUCUUCCGGCAGAUCGUGGAGGCGCUGCGGUUCGUCCACGCGCACGGCGUCGUGCACAGAGACAUUAAAGACGAGAACAUCGUGGUGGACACCAGGACGCUGGAGGUCAAGGUCAUCGACUUCGGGUCCGGAGCGCCGCUGAAGGACUCAGCGUAUAACGAGUUUGAAGGUACGCGGGUCUACAGUCCACCUGAGUGGGUCCAGAGCCGGUCCUACCACGCCGUCCCGCUCAGCGUCUGGUCUCUGGGGGUCCUGCUCUUCGACAUGGUCUGCGGAGACAUCCCGUUCGAACGCGACCAGGACAUCAUCCAGGCCACGCCCCUCUUCACCAGGCGCGUCUCUAAAGAUUGUCAAGCUCUGAUUCGCUGGUGUCUGUCGUACCGGCCGGAGGCCCGCCCCUCGCUGGAGGACAUCCUGUCUCACCCCUGGAUGGAGGGAGGUGAGGAAGAGGAGGAGGAAGAGGAGGAGUCCAGCUCUCUGCCCAGCGUGUCCCUGUGAGGACCUGAACUGAGUCAGAACCAGAACUAAAGUCUGCUGCCGGCUCCGUAUUUAUUCAUUAUUUAUUAGUUUCUGAUCAGGUUCUGCUGCUGAGGCUCCGCCCCCUGCAGCUGAGGCUCCGCCUCCUCCUGGUUGGACUGUUUACACUGGUUCAGGUGACCUUUGACCCCCAGUAAAAAACUGAAGAUGUUUGACGUUCUAAGUUCUACGUUCUUCACUCGGACCUCAGAUCUGUGGCUCCGUCAGGUUCUGAUCGGGUCAGGUUCUGAUCGGGUCAGGACCCUGGUUGUUACCUGGGUCGUGGACCUGUAUUCUACACUCAAAGUGGCCCCUGGGUCACUUGGUUCUGUUUAUUUACAUUAAAUAUAAAUGAUUGGA